RNAcentral lists this non-coding RNA (30 nucleotides) under Homo sapiens (human). Lineage: Eukaryota; Metazoa; Chordata; Mammalia; Primates; Hominidae. The record is from RNAcentral.
UACAUGAGGACCUCGCUCCCCCUGGAGUUC